GACGUAGGAGGCGAGCGUUGUCCGGAGUUACUGGGCGUAAAGCGCGCGCAGGCGGUCACGCAGGUCAUCUGUGAAAGCACUCGGCUCAACCAGAUAAAGGCAGUGGAAACUACAUAGCUAGAGUAAGGUAGGGGUAGAGGGAAUUCCUGGUGUAGCGGUGAAAUGCGUAGAUAUCGGGAGGAACAUCAGUGGCGAAGGCGGCCUGCUGGGCAGUGGCUGACACUGAGGCGCGACAGCGUGGGGAGCAAACAGG
RNAcentral lists this ribosomal RNA (253 nucleotides) under uncultured bacterium. RNAcentral describes it as "partial 16S ribosomal RNA". It matches the Rfam family "Bacterial small subunit ribosomal RNA", at positions 524 to 776 of the family's 1533-position model. The record is from RNAcentral.